AUCAACUGGAGGACCGAACCGACUAAUGUUGAAAAAUUAGCGGAUGACUUGUGGCUAGGGGUGAAAGGCCAAUCAAACCUGGAGAUAGCUGGUUCUCCCCGAAAGCUAUUUAGGUAGCGCCUCGGACGAAUACUACUGGGGGUAGAGCACUGUUAAGGCUAGGGGGUCAUCCCGACUUACCAACCCUUUGCAAACUCCGAAUACCAGUAAGUACUAUCCGGGAGACACAC
Molecule: ribosomal RNA, 230 nt
Filed under: Vibrio cyclitrophicus 1F175
Lineage: Bacteria; Pseudomonadati; Pseudomonadota; Gammaproteobacteria; Vibrionales; Vibrionaceae
Description: partial 23S ribosomal RNA
Rfam family: Bacterial large subunit ribosomal RNA
Source: RNAcentral